ACGGCUCAGUAACACGUGGCUAACCUGCCCUUGGGACGGGAACAUCCCCGGGAAACUGGGGUUAAUUCUCGAUAGGUGAAGAUUCCUGGAAUGGGUUUUCGCCCAAAAGACGCUUAGGUCAUGCUUCUAGACGUUGCCCAAGGAUGGGGCCGCGGCCGAUCAGGCUGUUGGUGAGGUAAAGGCUCACCAAACCUUUGACCGGUUCGGGCCGUGGGAGCGGUAGCCCGGAGAUGGGCACUGAGACAAGGGCCCAGGCCCUACGGGGCGCAGCAGUCGCGAAAACUUCGCAAUAAGCGAAAGCUUGACGGGGCCAUCCCGAGUGCCAUCUGCUGAGGAUGGCUUUUACCCAGUAUAGAUAGCUGGGGGAAUAAGGAGAGGGCAAGUCUGGUGUCAGCCGCCGCGGUAAUACCAGCUCUCCGAGUUGUGGGGACGUUUAUUGAGCCUGAAGCAUCCGUAGCCGGCUGUGCAAGUCCUCUGUUAAAUCCAGCGAUAAAUCGUUGGCCUGCGGGGGAUACUGCUCGGCUAGGGGGCGGGAGAGGCCGUCGGUAUUCUUGGGGUAGGGGUGAAAUCCUAUAAUCCCAGGAGGACCACCAGUGGCGAAGGCUGUCGGCUGGAACGCGCUCGACGGUGAGGGAUGAAAGCUGGGGGAGCGAACCGGAUUAGAUACCCGGGUAGUCCCAGCUGUAAACGAUGCAGGCUAGGUGUUAGGGCGGCUACGUGCCGCUCUAGUGCCGCAGGGAAGCUGUUAAGCCUGCCGCU
Molecule: ribosomal RNA, 759 nt
Filed under: uncultured crenarchaeote
Lineage: Archaea; Thermoproteati; Thermoproteota
Description: bacterial SSU rRNA
Rfam family: Archaeal small subunit ribosomal RNA
Source: RNAcentral